RNAcentral lists this ribosomal RNA (429 nucleotides) under Bacteroidota bacterium. RNAcentral's name for it is "Bacteroidetes bacterium partial 16S ribosomal RNA". It matches the Rfam family "Bacterial small subunit ribosomal RNA", at positions 355 to 776 of the family's 1533-position model. Lineage: Bacteria; Pseudomonadati; Bacteroidota. The record is from RNAcentral.
UAGGGAAUCUUCGGCAAUGGGGGGAACCCUGACCGAGCACCGCCGCGUGAGUGAAGAAGGUUUUCGGAUCGUAAAGCUCUGUUGUUAAGGAAGAACGAGUGUGAGAAUGGAAAGUUCAUGCUGUGACGGUACUUAACCAGAAAGGGACGGCUAACUACGUGCCAGCAGCCGCGGUAAUACGUAGGUCCCGAGCGUUGUCCGGAUUUAUUGGGCGUAAAGCGAGCGCAGGCGGUUAGAAAAGUCUGAAGUGAAAGGCAGUGGCUCAACCAUUGUAGGCUUUGGAAACUGUUUAACUUGAGUGCAGAAGGGGAGAGUGGAAUUCCAUGUGUAGCGGUGAAAUGCGUAGAUAUAUGGGGGAACACCGGUGGCGAAAGCGGCUCUCUGGUCUGUAACUGACGCUGAGGCUCGAAAGCGUGGGGAGCGAACAGG